UAAAGAUUAGUUAAAUUAUAAUAUAAACUUGUCAUGUUUAAGUUAUCUUUAA
This 52-nucleotide transfer RNA is filed under the name Eiconaxius baja. RNAcentral's name for it is "tRNA-Asp". The record is from RNAcentral. Lineage: Eukaryota; Metazoa; Arthropoda; Malacostraca; Decapoda; Axiidae.